RNAcentral lists this ribosomal RNA (262 nucleotides) under uncultured Schlesneria sp. RNAcentral's name for it is "partial 16S ribosomal RNA". It matches the Rfam family "Bacterial small subunit ribosomal RNA", at positions 927 to 1181 of the family's 1533-position model. Lineage: Bacteria; Pseudomonadati; Planctomycetota; Planctomycetia; Planctomycetales; Planctomycetaceae. The record is from RNAcentral.
AAGCGGUGGAGCAUGUGGCUUAAUUCGAGGCAACGCGAAGAACCUUAUCCUGGGCUUGACAUGUACGGAUUAACCCCAUGAAAGUGGGGCCACACUCGCAAGAGCGGAACGUGCACAGGUGCUGCAUGGCUGUCGUCAGUUCGUGUCGUGAGAUGUCGCGUUAAGUCGCUAAACGAACGCAACCCUUAUCUUUAGUUGCCAGCGCGUCAUGGCGGGGACUCUAGAGAGACUGCCGGUGUCAAACCGGAGGAAGGCGGGGAUG